Long non-coding RNA from Cercocebus atys (sooty mangabey), 540 nucleotides. RefSeq lists it as uncharacterized. The transcript has 3 exons. Lineage: Eukaryota; Metazoa; Chordata; Mammalia; Primates; Cercopithecidae. The record is from RefSeq and is a predicted model, not a curated record.
ACAGGUGUGAAGGUGGGAAGUGGCCUGAUGCAGGGCAGUGAAGAGCAGGCGUGAAGGUGGGAAGUGGCCUGAUGCAGGGCAGUGAACAGGUGUGAAGGUGGGAAGCGGCCUGAUGCAGGGCAGUGAACAGGUGUGAAGGUGGGAAGCGGCCUGAUGCAGGGCAGUGAACAGGUGUGAGGGUGGGAAGUGGCCUGAUGCAGGGCAGUGAAGAGCAGGUGUGAGGGUGGGAAGCGGCCUGAUGCAGGGCAGUGAAGAGCAGGUGUGAGGGUGGGAAGCGGCCUGAUGCAGGGCAGUGAACAGGUGUGAGGGUGGGAAGCGGCCUGAUGCAGGGCAGUGAACAGGUGUGAGGGUGGGAAGCGGCCUGAUGCAGGGCAGUGAAGAGCAGGUGUGAAGGUGAGAAGCGGCCUGAUGCAGGGCAGUGAAGAGCAGGUGUGAAGGUGGGAAGGAACCUGAUCUUUGCACGGGCUGCCAGGCUUCUGGUUCACACAGCCCCGGGCCAGUUUCCAGAACCCUCGCGCUUGGGUUGGGGAAAGAGACAUU